Molecule: non-coding RNA, 500 nt
Filed under: uncultured Glomeromycotina
Lineage: Eukaryota; Fungi; Glomeromycota
Also listed under: 1 other name
Description: partial small subunit ribosomal RNA
Rfam family: Eukaryotic small subunit ribosomal RNA
Source: RNAcentral
CCAAUAGCGUAUAUUAAAGUUGUUGCAGUUAAAAAGCUCGUAGUUGAAUUUUGGGUCUGGCCGGGCGGUCCGCCCUCUGGGUGAGCACUGUUCCGACGUCGGGCCUAUCCUUCUGGUGAGUCGGCAUGUCCUUUAUUGGGUGUGUCGGGGAACCAGGACCAUUACCUUGAAAAAAUUAGAGUGUUCAAAGCAGGCGUAUGCUCGGAUACAUUAGCAUGGAAUAAUGAAAUAGGACGCGUGGUGCUAUUUUGUUGGUUUCUAGAACCGCCGUAAUGAUUAAUAGGGAUAGUUGGGGGCAUUAGUAUUCAAUUGUCAGAGGUGAAAUUCUUGGAUUUAUUGAAGACUAACUUCUGCGAAAGCAUUUGCCAAGGAUGUUUUCAUUAAUCAAGAACGAAAGUUAGGGGAUCGAAGACGAUCAGAUACCGUCGUAGUCUUAACCAUAAACUAUGCCGACUAGGAAUCGGGCGAUGUUAUUCUCAUGACUCGCCCGGCGCCUUAUG